RNAcentral lists this ribosomal RNA (1690 nucleotides) under Parexocoetus brachypterus. RNAcentral's name for it is "16S ribosomal RNA". It matches the Rfam family "Bacterial large subunit ribosomal RNA". Lineage: Eukaryota; Metazoa; Chordata; Actinopteri; Beloniformes; Exocoetidae. The record is from RNAcentral.
AGCCAAACAGCUAGCCCACCUAAUCAACACCACCAUAAACACAUAAUUACACCCUAAAACACUAUCAACCAACCAACAAAACAUUUUUCCCCUCUAGUAUGGGAGACAGAAAAAGAGCCAGGAGCUAUAGAGAAAGUACCGCAAGGGAACGCUGAAAGAGAAAUGAAACAAACCAGUAAAGCACCAAAAAGCAGAGACUUGAACUCGUACCUUUUGCAUCAUGAAUUAGCCAGUAACCUCUAAGCAAAAUGAAUUUUAGUUUAGCCCCCCGAAACUAGGUGAGCUACUCCAAGACAGCCUAACAAUAGGGCGAACCCUUCUCUGUGGCAAAAGAGUGGGAAGAGCUUCGAGUAGCGGUGAAAAGCCUAUCGAACCUAGUUAUAGCUGGUUGCCUGAGAAAUGAAUAGAAGUUCAGCCUCCUCCCUUCUUCCCCCAAUUAUGGAACCUGCCUUAACCACAGAGAAAAAGAAGAGAAGAGAGUUAGUCAAAGAAGGGACAGCUUCUUUGAAAAAAGACACAACUUUUUUAGGAGGUAAAAAAUCAAAUUAAAUCAAGGCUAUAUGUUCAGGUGGGCCUAAAAGCAGCCAUCCUAUAAGAAAGCGUUAUAGCUCGAACAUUAACAUCGCUUUUAAUACUGAUAAAUCAAUUUUACACCCCUUAAACUAACAGGCCCUUCUAUUUUAUAAUAGAAGAGAUAAUGCUAGUAUGAGUAAUAAGAGACAACGAAUCUCUCCAAGCACAAGUGUACAUCAAAACAGACCUUCUACCGAAAAUUAACGGCCCCAAACAAAGAGGGAAUUGGAAAACAAAUAGACAACUAGAAAAUCUUCCAACAAUUACCGUUAACCCCACACUGGAGUGCUAUCAUGGAAAGACUUAAAGGAGAAGAAGGAACUCGGCAAACAUGUUCCUGGUCCCGCCUGUUUACCAAAAACAUCGCCUCUUGCUAAAAAAGUAUAAGAGGUCCCGCCUGCCCUGUGACAAAAAGUUUAACGGCCGCGGUAUUUUGACCGUGCGAAGGUAGCGCAAUCACUUGUUUCUUAAAUGGAGACCUGUAUGAAUGGCAUAACGAGGACCAACCUGUCUCCUUCUCCUAGUCAAUGAAAUUGAUCUCCCCGUGCAGAAGCGGGGAUAAUAACAUAAGACGAGAAGACCCUUUGGAGCUUUAGACUAUGAACAGACCAUGCUAAUUACACCAAACAAAAGGAACUAAGCCAAUUGGACCCCUGCUCUAAUGUCUUCGGUUGGGGCGACCACGGGGAAACAAAAAACCCCCAUGAGGAACAGGAGAACUUUUCUCCCACAACUAAGACCGGCAGGUCUAAGUACCAGAAUUUCUGACCAGAAGAUCCGGCAACGCCGAUCAACGAACCAAGUUACCCUAGGGAUAACAGCGCAAUCCCCUUUUAGAGCUCAUAUCGACAAGGGGGUUUACGACCUCGAUGUUGGAUCAGGACAUCCUAAUGGUGCAGCCGCUAUUAAGGGUUCGUUUGUUCAACGAUUAAAGUCCUACGUGAUCUGAGUUCAGACCGGAGUAAUCCAGGUCAGUUUCUAUCUAUGAAAUGUUCUUUUCUAGUACGAAAGGACCGAAAAGAAGAGGCCCAUUCUGCAAGAACGCCUCCCCCUUACCUGAUGAAAACAACUAAAAUAGGCAAAAGGACAUAACCCCUUUAGCCGUAAAGAACGGCGU